AAGAAAUCUUUGGACAAAGUCACCUGCAGAAACUCCACCAGCUCCUCCAUGGACAACUUGAGCAGCAGAUAAUCGGAAGACAGGUGACAGAAGUUCACAGGAGGUGAAUAAAGUCACUGUUCCUCACUGGUUUACUGGUUCCUCACUGGUUAAGGUGAGAAUCUGAAGUCAUUUCCUUGUUUUUCUGGCACGCAAACAACCCAAAGACUCAAUUUUAAUGACAUCACUUUGUUUUUAAUGCCAGAUUGACUUCUGUACUGUUUUGAAGGCUGGAAUACUUUCACAGUUUCAGCUCAAGAAAUCCCACCAGGUAGCUGUUAUCGUCUCACACGGAGCGUGACAAAUGGUAGAAAAAAUUCAUACCGCCUUUAUUUCAGAGAGCAAUUCCGGACAUCAAAGCUGUGCGGUUCCCUGAUCAUUCACAGGAAAAGGAGGAAGUGAAAGCCUAUCAUGAUUGUUGUAGAAAGCAAGGAUUCACAUUUUAAGGCUGUCAAGGAGACGUGCAGAAGAAUGUUACUUUCUAAAUCUGCAAUUUAAAGUAUAACAACACCACUGUAUGCAGCUUUAAAAUCUGCGUCUUAUCGGAUGAAGAUCAGUCCGGAGUUUUUGAUCAGAUGCAACCGAUUUGUCUUUACAAACUGUGACGGCGCUCCGCAGAGAGGCUGUUAUCACCACAUCCCACAGAGACCGGUGCCAACAUCAUGACCGUCACCAGUUUGUCAUUAACAAGACGGGACGAGUCGGGGCGGGUGGCAACAGAAAAAAACAACCCGAGCACAUUAGCAGCUUUCAGCGCACAGCCGGAGACUGAAACAAGGAGAAGAAGAAGAAGAAGAAGCUCAACAUGAUGACGGUUUUUGAAAGCUGCUACUGAUAUUUGUUUGCAAAGUCAUAACAGUGGAACAAAAAACGAGGGAGGCGUCUGAUGGGUGCCAAAUGUAUUCUGCAGCGUGACAAUGACCCCAAACAUCCAGCCAGACUCAUAAAGAACUAUCUUCAGGGAACAAAA
This is a long non-coding RNA of Thunnus maccoyii (southern bluefin tuna), 1009 nucleotides long. RefSeq lists it as uncharacterized. The transcript is spliced from 3 exons. NCBI's taxonomy places the organism in Eukaryota, Metazoa, Chordata, Actinopteri, Scombriformes, Scombridae. The record is from RefSeq and is a predicted model, not a curated record.